RNAcentral lists this ribosomal RNA (348 nucleotides) under Enterococcus casseliflavus. Its description in RNAcentral is "bacterial SSU rRNA". It matches the Rfam family "Bacterial small subunit ribosomal RNA", at positions 96 to 437 of the family's 1533-position model. The record is from RNAcentral. Lineage: Bacteria; Bacillati; Bacillota; Bacilli; Lactobacillales; Enterococcaceae.
UGGCGAACGGGUGAGUAACACGUGGGUAACCUGCCCAUCAGAAGGGGAUAACACUUGGAAACAGGUGCUAAUACCGUAUAACACUAUUUUCCGCAUGGAAGAAAGUUGAAAGGCGCUUUUGCGUCACUGAUGGAUGGACCCGCGGUGCAUUAGCUAGUUGGUGAGGUAACGGCUCACCAAGGCAACGAUGCAUAGCCGACCUGAGAGGGUGAUCGGCCACACUGGGACUGAGACACGGCCCAGACUCCUACGGGAGGCAGCAGUAGGGAAUCUUCGGCAAUGGACGAAAGUCUGACCGAGCAACGCCGCGUGAGUGAAGAAAGGUUUUCGGAUCGUAAAAACUCUGUU